This 442-nucleotide ribosomal RNA is filed under the name uncultured bacterium. Its description in RNAcentral is "partial 16S ribosomal RNA". It matches the Rfam family "Bacterial small subunit ribosomal RNA", at positions 338 to 795 of the family's 1533-position model. The record is from RNAcentral.
CCUACGUGUGGCAGCAGUGGGGAAUAUUGGACAAUGGGCGGAACCCUGAUCCAGCGACGCCGCGUGAGUGAAGAAGUAUCUCGGUAUGUAAAGCUCUAUCAGCAAGGAAGUAGAAAUGACGGUACCUGAGUAAGAAGCCCCGGCUAACUACGGGCCAGCAGCCGCGGUAAUACGGAGGGGGCAAGCGUUAUCCGGAAUUACUGGGUGUAAAGGGAGCGUAGACGGUGAUGUAAGUCUGGAGUGAAAGGCUGGGGCUCAACCCCCGGAUUGCUCUGGAAACUAUGUGACUGGAGUGCAGGAGAGGUGAGCAGAAUUCCUAGUGUAGCGGUGAAAUGCGUAGAUAUUAGGAGGAACACCAGUGGCGAAGGCGGCUCACUGGACUGUAACUGACGUUGAGGCUCGAAAGCGUGGGGAGCAAACAGGAUUAGAUACCCUGGUAGUC